Molecule: ribosomal RNA, 315 nt
Filed under: Shigella sonnei
Lineage: Bacteria; Pseudomonadati; Pseudomonadota; Gammaproteobacteria; Enterobacterales; Enterobacteriaceae
Description: bacterial SSU rRNA
Rfam family: Bacterial small subunit ribosomal RNA
Source: RNAcentral
AAAUUGAAGAGUUUGAUCAUGGCUCAGAUUGAACGCUGGCGGCAGGCCUAACACAUGCAAGUCGAACGGUAACAGGAAACAGCUUGCUGUUUCGCUGACGAGUGGCGGACGGGUGAGUAAUGUCUGGGAAACUGCCUGAUGGAGGGGGAUAACUACUGGAAACGGUAGCUAAUACCGCAUAAUGUCGCAAGACUAAAGAGGGGGACCUUCGGGCCUCUUGCCAUCGGAUGUGCCCAGAUGGGAUUAGCUAGUAGGUGGGGUAACGGCUCACCUAGGCGACGAUCCCUAGCUGGUCUGAGAGGAUGACCAGCCACA